GAGGGAUGAUGAUGCUGAGAAUGGUUUCGCUAUGUGAACUGAGAACAUGUGAUGUCACAUUUUCUCUUGGCUGUCUGACCAA
Small nucleolar RNA from Takifugu rubripes (torafugu), 82 nucleotides. Ensembl annotates it as small nucleolar RNA SNORD53/SNORD92. NCBI's taxonomy places the organism in Eukaryota, Metazoa, Chordata, Actinopteri, Tetraodontiformes, Tetraodontidae. The record is from Ensembl.